Molecule: long non-coding RNA, 556 nt
Organism: Ahaetulla prasina
Lineage: Eukaryota; Metazoa; Chordata; Lepidosauria; Squamata; Colubridae
Exons: 3
Source: RefSeq, a predicted model, not a curated record
UUUAAAAAAACUAAUGCGUUUGGUGUGGGGGAGGAGAACAAAAGUGUUUUUUUCUCUCUUUGAAAAGCACUUCAAAAAAAUAUAUCUGACAAAUCAUAAAUUACUGUUUGAUAGGCGAGAGACAUUAAUACCCACUGGACUUCUCCCCUGGCCAAACUACAGCCAUGGGAAGAAUGCCGGUCCUUGGGAAGGAGAGUACAACGUGAUGAGAUCAGAAUUUGGAAGAAGGAGGGCAGCAGGACUGGUGCUGCACCAGAAACAGCCCAUCCGCUUGGAUAGCAGUGGCAAGAAAUGGAAUAUUAAAGGAAAGGCUUAAAGACAGUUGAGUUAAGGAUGGAAAAGUAUGGCAGUCUGAGUGCACAGUAUCAGAAAUGGCAUCCAGAGAAUAUAUUCAUUUUUUAUUGAUAUCCUUAAAGAUCUCUGGGAAAGACUUGGACUGCGUGUUUUGGAAUGCAGCCAUUCUGGAUUGCAAGGUCACGAUGAAAGAAUCACCACAGCCUCAACACUUUUGAUGGGCAGUUUAUAUCUUCCAUUGAUGCUGUCUCAGUCACCUCUA